This 177-nucleotide unclassified non-coding RNA is filed under the name uncultured Ascomycota. Its description in RNAcentral is "sequence contains ITS1". Lineage: Eukaryota; Fungi; Ascomycota. The record is from RNAcentral. RNAcentral also lists the same sequence under 1 other name.
CACAAAAAAUAUGAAGGCUGCAACCGCCAGUUUUGGCGGGGAAGCUGAAUUAUUUUUCACCCAUGUCUUUUGCGCACUUGUUGUUUCCUGGGCGGGUUCGCCCGCCACCAGGACCACACCAUAAACCUUUUUUAUGCAGUUGCAAUCAGCGUCAGUAUAACAAAUGUAAAUCAUUUA